Dendrobium catenatum is the source of this 106-nucleotide small nucleolar RNA. Lineage: Eukaryota; Viridiplantae; Streptophyta; Magnoliopsida; Asparagales; Orchidaceae. The record is from RefSeq and is a predicted model, not a curated record.
AAAGCAUGGUGAGGGCAUUUCCUAAGCAUCUCUUAAAAUCUCUCUAACUUUCAUAAAUGGAUUCUCCUUCAAACUAAAUAAAAGAAGUGAUAUUAUUUCUAAAUUU